RNAcentral lists this ribosomal RNA (484 nucleotides) under uncultured bacterium. RNAcentral's name for it is "partial 16S ribosomal RNA". It matches the Rfam family "Bacterial small subunit ribosomal RNA", at positions 30 to 507 of the family's 1533-position model. The record is from RNAcentral.
AUUGAACGCUGGCGGCAGGCCUAACACAUGCAAGUCGAGCGGAUGAAGGGAGCUUGCUCCUGGAUUCAGCGGCGGACGGGUGAGUAAUGCCUAGGAAUCUGCCUGGUAGUGGGGGAUAACGUCCGGAAACGGGCGCUAAUACCGCAUACGUCCUGAGGGAGAAAGUGGGGGAUCUUCGGACCGCAUGCUAUCAGAUGAGCCUAGGUCGGAUUAGCUAGUUGGUGGGGUAAAGGCCUACCAAGGAGACGAUCCGUAACUGGUCUGAGAGGAUGAUCAGUCACACUGGAACUUGGACACGGUCCAGACUCCUAAGGGAGGCAGCAGUGGGGAAUAUUGGACAAUGGGCGAGAACCUGAUCCAGCCAUGCCGCGUGUGUGACGAAGGUCUUCGGAUUGUAAAGCACUUUAAGUUGGGAGGAAGGGCAGUAAGUUAAUACCUUGCUGUUUUGACGUUACCAACAGAAUAAGCACCGGCUAACUUCGUG